Long non-coding RNA from Bufo bufo (common toad), 141 nucleotides. RefSeq lists it as uncharacterized. The transcript is spliced from 3 exons. Lineage: Eukaryota; Metazoa; Chordata; Amphibia; Anura; Bufonidae. The record is from RefSeq and is a predicted model, not a curated record.
GCACCAAUUCUAAGUCAGCUGCUAGGUGCCGGCCGAGGCGAGGCGCCGUCCGUCCGGGCACCCCCCUGCGAGGCCCGCGGCGGGGGAGGGAAGGGGGGACCGCCCCCACCCGCGGCCGAGACCGGGGAGAGAGAGCGGCGC